AGAAAGCUUACAAAUGUGAAGAAUGUCACAAAGUUUUCAGUCGCACAUCAAUCCUUGAAAGACAUAGGAGAAUUCCUACUGGAGAAAAACCAUAAAUAUGUAAGAGUUUGUGACAAGGCUUUCAGGUGUGAUUCGCACCUGGCACAACAUCCUAGAAUUCACACUAGAGAGAAGCCUUACAAGUGUAAUGAGUGUGACAGUCUUUAAUGGGCAGUCAACACUUGUUUACCAUCAGGCAAUUCAUGGUGUAGGGAAACUUUACUGAUGUAAUGAUUGUCACAGUCUUCAGUAAUGCUACAACCAUUGUGAAUCUUUGGAGAAUCCAUAAUUGGAGAGAUCAUACUAGUGUAAUAAAUUUGGCAGAUUUUUCAGAUGUUGUUCAUACCUUGCAGUUCAUUGGUGAACUCAUGCUGGAGAGAAACCUUACAAAUGUCAUGAUUGUGGCAACAUCUUCAGUCAAGCUUCAUCCUAUGGAAAACAUAUGAUAAUUCAUACAGGAGAGAAACCUCACAAGUGUGAUGAUUGUGGCAAAGCCUUUACUUCACACCUCAUUAGACAUCAGAGAAUGCAUACUGGACAGAAAUCUUACAAAUGUCAUCAAUGUACCAAGGUCUUCAGUCUGAGUUCACUCCUUGCAGAAUAUCAGAAAAUUCAUUUUGGAGGUAGUUGUUCCAAAUGCAAUGAGUAGAGCAAACAAUCAAGCAUUAAUUGACACUAGAGUCAAUUCAGCAUUGACUUGAGUUUGAGUUGAGUUAACAUUGAGUUCAAGCAUUAAUUGACAUUGAAGUGUUUAUGUUAAGAGGAUUCGGCCAGGCACAGUGGCUCACACCUGUAAUCCGAGCGCUUUGGGAGGCCAAGGUGGGUACAUCACUUGAGGUCAGGAGUUUGAGAUCAGCCUGGCCAACAGAUGUGAGCCAUUUUCCCUGCCUGUUUUUCAUUUCUUUAACAAAAACUGAUAGGGAUUUUUAUGGGUAUUGUGUUGAAUCUAAAUCACAUUGGGUUAUAUAAUUAUUUAACAACAUUAAUUUUUCCAAACCAUCAAUAUGGGUUGUAGCUCUAUGUUUUUAAUCAUUUCAAUCAAUGUUUGUAGAUGUCAAGGUACAAAUUUCUGACCUUUUUAUGUUUAUUUCUAAGUAUUUCUUAAUUUAAGUUCUCCAGCAAAUGGAAGUGUUUUAAAAUUUUCUUUUAAAAUUGUUUAUUGUUAAACUGGAAAUUUAACUAAUUUUUGGUGCUAAUACGGUAUUGUGCAAAUCCACUGAAUAUGUUACUUAGUUCCAGUAGUAUUUUGGUUGACUCUGUGAUUUUCUACACAGAAGAUCAUGUCAUCUACAAACAAAUAUAAUUUUACUUCUUUCUUUCUGA
This is an RNA transcript of Rhinopithecus roxellana (golden snub-nosed monkey), 1362 nucleotides long. It is a transcript of the gene named putative zinc finger protein 137, with no coding region annotated. The transcript has a single exon. Lineage: Eukaryota; Metazoa; Chordata; Mammalia; Primates; Cercopithecidae. The record is from RefSeq and is a predicted model, not a curated record.